This 629-nucleotide ribosomal RNA is filed under the name uncultured candidate division SR1 bacterium. RNAcentral describes it as "bacterial SSU rRNA". It matches the Rfam family "Bacterial small subunit ribosomal RNA", at positions 461 to 1083 of the family's 1533-position model. Lineage: Bacteria; Candidatus Absconditibacteriota. The record is from RNAcentral.
GAAGACGAAUGACGGUACACCAAGAAUAAGAGACGGCUAACUACGUGCCAGCAGCCGCGGUAAUACGUAGGUCUCAAGCGUUAUCCGGAUUUACUGGGCGUAGAGUAUCCGUAGCCUGAUAUGUAAGUCUGUUUUCAAAUCCCACGACUCAAUCGUGGAAAGGGAAUGGAUACUGCAUAUCUAGAAGUUAUUGGGGGUUAGUGGAAUUUCCGGUGGAGCGGUGAAAUGCGUUGAUAUCGGAAAGAACGCCGAAAGCGAAAGCAGCUAACUAUGAUUAACUUGACGGUGAGGGAUGAAAGUUUGGGUAGCAAACGGGAUUAGAUACCCCGGUAGUCCAAACUGUAAAUUAUGCUUGCUAGGUGUUUCGAUCCUUGUGGUCGGAGUGCCGUAAUCUAACGAGUUAAGCAAGUCGCCUGGGUAGUAUAUUCGCAAGAAUGAAACUCAAAGGGAUAGGCGGGGGAACACACAAGCAGUGGAUUAUCUAGAUUAAUUGGAUAAUAAGCCAGGAAUCUUACCUAGAAUUGACAUGCAUUGUGUCUCAUAUAAAAGUAUGAUAUUUGUAGCAAUACAGAGCUUUGCACAGGUGGUGCAUGGUCGUCGUCAGCUCGUGCCGCAAGGUGUCCAGUUAA